GAUGAACGCUGGCGGCGUGCCUAAUACAUGCCAGUCGAGCGAACGGACGAGAAGCUUGCUUCUCUGAUGUUAGCGGCGGACGGGUGAGUAACACGUGGAUAACCUACCUAUAAGACUGGGAUAACUUCGGGAAACCGGAGCUAAUACCGGAUAAUAUUUUGAACCGCAUGGUUCAAAAGUGAAAGACGGUCUUGCUGUCACUUAUAGAUGGAUCCGCGCUACAUUAGCUAGUUGGUAAGGUAACGGCUUACCAAGGCAACGAUGCAUAGCCGACCUGAGAGGGUGAUCGCCCACCCUGGAACUGAGACACGGUCCAGACUCCUACGGGAGGCAGCAGUAGGGAAUCUUCCGCAAUGGGGGAAAGCCUGACGGAGCAACGCCGCGUGAGUGAUGAAGGUCUUCGGAUCGUAAAACUCUGUUAUUAGGGAAGAACAUAUGUGUAAGUAACUGUGCACAUCUUGACGGUACCUAAUCAGAAAGCCACGGCUAACUACGUG
RNAcentral lists this ribosomal RNA (497 nucleotides) under uncultured bacterium. RNAcentral describes it as "partial 16S ribosomal RNA". It matches the Rfam family "Bacterial small subunit ribosomal RNA", at positions 28 to 507 of the family's 1533-position model. The record is from RNAcentral.